GACGAACGCUGGCGGCGUGCUUAACACAUGCAAGUCGAACGGAAAGGCCCUGCUUUUGUGGGGUGCUCGAGUGGCGAACGGGUGAGUAACACGUGAGUAACCUGCCCUUGACUUUGGGAUAACUUCAGGAAACUGGGGCUAAUACCGGAUAGGAGCUCCUGCUGCAUGGUGGGGGUUGGAAAGUUUCGGCGGUUGGGGAUGGACUCGCGGCUUAUCAGCUUGUUGGUGGGGUAGUGGCUUACCAAGGCUUUGACGGGUAGCCGGCCUGUGAGGGUGAACGGCCACAUUGGGACUGAGAUACGGCCCAGACUCCUACGGGAGGCAGGAGUGGGGAAUAUUGCACAAUGGGCGGAAGCCUGAUGCAGCAACGCCGCGUGCGGGAUGACGGCCUUCGGGUUGUAAACCGCUUUCGCCUGUGACGAAGCGUGAGUGACGGUAAUGGGUAAAGAAGCACCGGCUAACUACGU
RNAcentral lists this ribosomal RNA (467 nucleotides) under uncultured bacterium. RNAcentral's name for it is "partial 16S ribosomal RNA". It matches the Rfam family "Bacterial small subunit ribosomal RNA", at positions 28 to 506 of the family's 1533-position model. The record is from RNAcentral.